Corvus hawaiiensis (hawaiian crow) is the source of this 958-nucleotide non-coding RNA. NCBI's taxonomy places the organism in Eukaryota, Metazoa, Chordata, Aves, Passeriformes, Corvidae. The record is from the annotation of a RefSeq genome assembly.
AAAGCCCCGCGGGGACCCCAGACCGGCACAUCCCGGCCAUGGCUUCGAGCUCCCUCCCGGUCCUCGCCCUCCUGGCUCUCGUGGCCCUCCCAGGGCUCCGGGCGGCCGUGACCCUGCUGGAGUCCGGGGGGGACCUCCAGCCCCCCGGGGGGUCCCUGCGCCUCCUCUGCCGCGGAUCUGGCUCCGGCCUCGCGCGAUCCCACGUCCUCUGGAUCCGCCAGGGCCCCGGGGCGGGGCUGGCGUUCGUCGCCGGGAUCAGCCGCGAGGGAUCGGAGGAGUACGCGGCGUCGGCGCGGGGCCGGUUCCGGAUCGCCAGGGACGACGGGCGGGGCUCGGUGACGCUGGCCAUGGACGGCCUCAGGGACGAGGAUUCCGGCGCCUAUUUCUGCGCCGCUCACAGUGGUGCCGGCGCCGGGGACGGGCGGAUAAAAACCUCGGGGUGGUCCCCGGGGUGUGCCUGAGGUCAAGACCCCUUGGAUGGACCUUGAGAGCCGCUGGGUGGACGUAGGGACGCCGUGGGUGGACAUCGGGACCCUUCCAUGAUGGUCAGGACCCCCUGGAGGAAGGUCAAGACCUUUUGGGUGGACGUUGGGACACCUCGGAUGGACACCGAGACCCUUCCAUGGGCACGGAGACCCUUUGGAGGAAGGUCAAGACCCUUUGGGUGGACACUGGAACCUCUGGAUGGACACUGGAACCUCUGGGUGGACGUUUGGACCCAAAGCCGGCUGAACUUGGACCCUUUUUUGCCCAUUUUGGACCCAAAUCUGGAUUAAUUUCGACCCUUUUUCGCCCAUUUUGGACCCAAAUCUGGACUGAUUUUGGCGCUUUUCCUCCAGCUUUUGCCCAAAAUUGGGCUCAUUUGGCCCUUUUUGCCCAUUUUAUCCCAAAUCUGGAUUAAUUUUGACCUUUUUUUGCCCAUUUUGGACCCAAAUCUGGAUUAAUUUUGACCCUUUUU